This 200-nucleotide ribosomal RNA is filed under the name uncultured bacterium. Its description in RNAcentral is "partial 16S ribosomal RNA". It matches the Rfam family "Bacterial small subunit ribosomal RNA", at positions 8 to 206 of the family's 1533-position model. The record is from RNAcentral.
AGAGUUUGAUCCUGGCUCAGGACGAACGCUGGCGGCGUGCUUAACACAUGCAAGUCGAGCGAUGAAAUUCUUUCGGGAAUGGAUUAGCGGCGGACGGGUGAGUAACACGUGGGUAACCUGCCUCAUAGAGGGGAAUAGCCUUUCGAAAGGAAGAUUAAUACCGCAUAAGAUUGUAGUACCGCAUGGUGCAGCAAUUAAAG